AUACGUAGGUGACAAGCGUUAUCCGGAUUUACUGGGCGUAAAGGGCGUGUAGGCGGUCUUGCAAGUCAGAAGUGAAAUUCCUGAGCUCAACUCGGGCGCUGCUUCUGAAACUGCAGGACUUGAGUGCUGGAGGGGAUAGCGGAAUUCCUAGUGGAGCGGUAAAAUGCGCAGAUAUUAGGAAGAACACCGGUGGCGAAGGCGACUAUCUGGACAGUAGCUGACCCUGAGGCGCGAAAGCGUGGGGGGCAAACAGGUUUAGAUGCCCUGGUAGUCCACGCCGUAAACGAUGAUUACUAGGUGUAGGGGGUAUCGACUCCCUCUGUGCCGCAGUUAACACAAUAAGUAUGCCGCCUGGGGAGUACGGCCGCAAGGUUGAAACUCAAAGGAAUUGACGGGG
Molecule: ribosomal RNA, 397 nt
Filed under: uncultured bacterium
Lineage: Bacteria
Description: partial 16S ribosomal RNA
Rfam family: Bacterial small subunit ribosomal RNA
Source: RNAcentral